AUGGAACCUGAAAUUCCCCAACUCCAUUAUAGUAAAAAGUGUCUUCCCUUCCUCUGGCUCAAGAAUUAAAAUAUUUUCGUUCUUUGACACAUUGUAAUUUGAUUCCCUAAAUAUUUAUAAUUGUAGAUUUAAAAACUCGGUCUUCUGCUGUAUCAGACAUCUAGAUGGGCAUUUUCCAACAGAAUUAUGAGAGGCCUCUUAUAGAACUUGAAACCUUCCUUGUAGCCUCAUAUAAAUAUAUAAACAGGUACAAUUCAUUUUACUAGUAUAUUUUUAACUCAAAAUGCUCAUACUAUGCUUUCAAUAAGAAAUACAAAUAGGCCGGGUGAGGUGGCUCACAUCUGCAAUCCCAGCACUUUGGGAGGCUGAGGCGGGUGGAUCACGAGAUCAGGAGAUCGAGACCAUCCUGAUUAACACGGUGAAACCCCGUCUCUCCUAAAAAUACAAAAAAUUAGCCAGGUGUGGCAGCGGGCAGCUACUUGGGAGGCUGAGGCAGGAGAAUGGCAUGAACCCGGGAGGCGGAGAUUGCAGUGAGCCCAGAAUGCGCCACUGCACUCUAGCCUGGGCAACAGAGCAAGACUCUGUCUCAAAAAAAAUAAAUACAAAUACAGUAUUUUCUAUUUUUCAUAUUAACUGGCACGUCUUUCAUGCAGCAUAUCCAGUUCAGACCGGGCGCAAUUCAUGUGCUCAGCCGCUGCAUGUGCAGGUAGCACAGGCACUGCUGGGUCAUCGUGACAUGGGCAGGCUUGGAUUGAUUCGCUGCUGGUGUGGAUCUGUGGAGAACUCCCAUCCUGCACCCACUCCGAUCUCCCCCUCCUGGACGUGGUAGGAUGGCCGUGCUCCGCCCACACCUGAGCUCUCUCUGAUCUCCCACUCCUGGAGGUGGUAGGGUGGCCAUGCUCCGCCCACACCUGAGCUCUAUCUCAUCUCCCCCUCCCGGAAGUGGUAGGGUGAUAUGCUCUGCCCACACCUGAGCUCUCUCCGAGCUCCGCCUUCCGGACUCGGUAGAGUGGCCAUGCUCCACCCACACCGGAGCUCUCUCUGAGCUCCGCCUUCUGGACAUGGUAGGAUGGCCAUGCUCCACCCACACCUGAGCUCUGGGUGCCAUGAUCUGCAGGUGUACUCCAGAGGACAAGUGUACUGUGGGUGCGUCUCAUUCAUUCUCCUGGCCUUGCCCUCAGUUCUGGUUGGCACAGCUGUGGUCACAGACUAAAAAUAGCCACCUCAUUCGUUUUGUGCAGCUUUACAGUUGUUUAUGGCAGAUGUGUGAUUUGGGUCCCUGUUCCCUCAUCAUGGCUAGAACAAGUUUUGGCAAAUGAUUCUUAUAUCUUUACAUUUGAAAACUAAAGGAAAGUUUCACCCAUAGAAUAUUAGUGUUGCCACGAUCCUAAUGAGUGUUUCUCCAGAAACUAUGAUCCAGGUCAGCAGCCAGUCAUUUCAUAGAAGAUAAACUUCAAGAACAUUCUCUGAAGGGCAGUGAAACUGAGUAAGAUCUAACCACUGUUACCAGCAACAAAGAAAAAUAGGUAAGAAAAUGCAACUAAGAUUUGGAUCAAGUAGAUACGGUAAUAAACAUGCAAACUAUCGCUAAGCA
Piliocolobus tephrosceles (Ugandan red Colobus) is the source of this 1594-nucleotide long non-coding RNA. The record is from Ensembl. Lineage: Eukaryota; Metazoa; Chordata; Mammalia; Primates; Cercopithecidae.